This 78-nucleotide transfer RNA is filed under the name Candidatus Bathyarchaeota archaeon. RNAcentral's name for it is "tRNA-Ala". It matches the Rfam family "tRNA". Rfam says of the family: Transfer RNA (tRNA) molecules are approximately 80 nucleotides in length. Their secondary structure includes four short double-helical elements and three loops (D, anti-codon, and T loops). Further hydrogen bonds mediate the characteristic L-shaped molecular structure. tRNAs have two regions of fundamental functional importance: the anti-codon, which is responsible for specific mRNA codon recognition, and the 3' end, to which the tRNAs corresponding amino acid is attached (by aminoacyl-tRNA synthetases). tRNAs cope with the degeneracy of the genetic code in two manners: having more than one tRNA (with a specific anti-codon) for a particular amino acid; and 'wobble' base-pairing, i.e. permitting non-standard base-pairing at the 3rd anti-codon position. Lineage: Archaea; Thermoproteati; Candidatus Bathyarchaeota. The record is from RNAcentral.
GGGCCGGUAGAUCAGCCUGGAACGAUCGCAGCGUUGGCAUCGCUGAGGUCGCGGGUUCAAAUCCCGCCCGGUCCACCA